Gadus macrocephalus (Pacific cod) is the source of this 820-nucleotide long non-coding RNA. RefSeq lists it as uncharacterized. The transcript is spliced from 2 exons. The record is from RefSeq and is a predicted model, not a curated record. NCBI's taxonomy places the organism in Eukaryota, Metazoa, Chordata, Actinopteri, Gadiformes, Gadidae.
GGUCUUACCUUACGACGUAGACCCGGUCCGGCGAAUCAUCAUCCGUGGUUUAGCAGAGAAUUGAACUGUACCGGAGCGAUGUGUAUCGGCUAGCGAGCUAGCUGCUAACAGCUAACUAGCUUUGAGUGUUUAGCAUCAACUCCGCAACACCUUGCAGUGUAGCUUCCAGGACUAAACCGACCCGCAGUUUUGAAAAAGCGAUGCAAAUCCUGUUCUGGAUACGGCUGUUUAAACUGUAGGGGAAGUCGCCACAACCAACUAGUUCUCCGUUAACGCUACAGAAGCGUCCAUUUUCUGUCCGACUACUGUAGGAAUCAUGGCGGCUGUCACUGACUGCACUGGCCCACAAUGCAUUGCGGGACCCAAUGUAAUUGUUAAAAUAAUAGUGGGACCGUUUGAAUGAACACCACACCAUCAAGUGUUUCAGCUAUUUUUAUCUAUGCUAUUUUUUUUUAUAAUAAUUUGCUGCAGGCAUUAAAGAAGAUAUUUGGAUAAGAUUGUUUUUAUUGAAAAUUUACAACAGAUUCAAACUACAAGAAAGUAGGCCUAAUAUGCGUUGUGGAAAAGUAUUGGACUACAAGUGAUGACAGAUGCUAAAAAUGUAUAUUUCCUGACACCAUUUAGUUCUUUAAAGUGAAAGCCACAUCCAAAGGUAAUAUUUCAUAAACAGGUCUCCACUUCAAUACACAAAAUAUAUCCUUAUAAAUUAUAUAAAUGCACAGGUAUUCUUCACUAUUUGGGAUUAAAAUCCAACUACACCUUAAUAGUAAUAUUUGGCAAAUGGGUUCUACAAUUAUAAGACAGCAAAUAUACAUUAAUA